Molecule: ribosomal RNA, 460 nt
Filed under: uncultured bacterium
Lineage: Bacteria
Description: partial 16S ribosomal RNA
Rfam family: Bacterial small subunit ribosomal RNA
Source: RNAcentral
CCUACGGGCGGCAGCAGUGAGGAAUAUUGGUCAAUGGGCGUAAGCCUGAACCAGCCAAGUCGCGUGAGGGAUGAAGGUUCUAUGGAUCGUAAACCUCUUUUAUAAGGGAAUAAAGUGUGGGACGUGUCCUGUUUUGUAUGUACCUUAUGAAUAAGGAUCGGCUAACUCCUUGCCAGCAGCCGCGGUAAUACGGAGGAUCCGAGCUUUAUCCGGAUUUAUUGGGUUUAAAGGGUGCGUAGGCGGCCUUUUAAGUCAGCGGUGAAAGUCUGUGGCUCAACCAUAGAAUUGCCGUUGAAACUGGGAGGCUUGAGUAUGUUUGAGGCAGGCGGAAUGCGUGGUGUAGCGGUGAAAUGCUUAGAUAUCACGCAGAACCCCGAUUGCGAAGGCAGCCUGCCAAGCCAUGACUGACGCUGAUGCACGAAAGCGUGGGGAUCAAACAGGAUUAGAUACCCGGGUAGUC